AACACGGAACACGGGACACGACACCCGCAUCUGUCCGACCGAUCCGAGCUGAAGCAAUCCCCGACCGGCGACUUACUACUACAACUUUUCAAAUGCUACUCGUGAGACUGAGACCCCGGUUCCACCAAAGCAAUACGAGUAAAAUAUUCUUGAUUAAAACUUAUCAGAGCACAUUUCAUAUCACCUUUUCAAAAACGCAACAAACAACAACAACAACAGUCAACAACACCCAAUGAGUAACGCUCGUCAGCUCGGUAGCUACUUUAUUAUCGGAGAAACGGUCGAACUCGUUCCUCUUUCCCCGUGCCCAGUGCCCCGAUCCCCGAUCCCGCUCCCUGCUGCCCGGUGUGUGUAGUUUGGCUGCCUCGCCGAUUGGACGACCGGCGAACGCAAGAUAUGGCUAUCUGAGCCGGCAUAGUACCACCCAGCCCCACUGACGCCACAGAAAUCGACAGAGAGUGGAAGAGAGAGCGAGAGAGAGUGAGAGAGAGCCCUGGAGUCCAAACCCGAUUUGAUUAAGUUGCAUCACGCGUCGGUCGCGCGACUAUACUUAUCGGACCAAUUGUUUUGUUUUGGUGACGAUGACAACGGAAACUUGGGAAACACCGCCAACACUACUGAUUACCACUAUCUGAGAUGUUCAUGGGAAAAACAAAAAAAAAACUAAAAGAUUGCAAGCAUCCAGUCAACUUUAAACUAU
Molecule: long non-coding RNA, 700 nt
Organism: Drosophila montana
Lineage: Eukaryota; Metazoa; Arthropoda; Insecta; Diptera; Drosophilidae
Exons: 2
Source: RefSeq, a predicted model, not a curated record